RNAcentral lists this long non-coding RNA (2701 nucleotides) under Callithrix jacchus (white-tufted-ear marmoset). RNAcentral describes it as "lncRNA (ENSCJAG00000069854.1)". The record is from RNAcentral. Lineage: Eukaryota; Metazoa; Chordata; Mammalia; Primates; Cebidae.
GUUUGCCUCAGUUUGAUCUUUUAAUAUUAAUUCCUCCUGUUUCUGUAGCUUUCUGUCUUUUUAUAUCAAUAUUAGGAGAUAUUUAACAGUGUCUCUUCAAAUAGUACUUACUGCCUCCUUUCCCCCAUCACCCCCAACCCCUUCUCCUUCUAGACUCCAACAGCAAUCCUGUAAUUCUUUGUUCUGUCCCAUGAAUAUUUUGUAUUCUUCCCUAUAUUUUUAUUCAUGUUCACUUCAUGUAUUCAUCUGGGUAUGUAUGUGUGUGUGCAUAUAUAUAUAUAUAUGUGUGUGUAUAUAUAUGUGUGUAUGUAUGGGUAUGUAUGUGUGUGUGCAUAUAUAUAUGUGUGUAUAUAUAUGUGUAUGUGUGUGUGUGUGUGUGUGUGUGUGUGUGUGUGUGUAUAUAUGGACUUAUUUUUCCUUCUACUAAUACCUAAUUCAGCUGUGUCUAGUAAUAACUCCUCAUGAGUCUCAGUUAAAAUCAUGGAGUAUUUUCCAAGGCUCUUCCUCUUAGUUAGGACCUAAAUAACAUUUUUUUUCUUUCAGUACUAUAAGAGUGCUCUGCUAUUGAUUUAGCUUCUUAGUUCUCACUUUCAGCUUGCUUACCUUACUUCUCACACCCUGCAGAUUAGACAUUAAGAACCACUAUACAAGCAAAGAAUCACAUGGUAUGCCUUUCUGUUGCUGCCUUUGCUCCGAGAUCUUGGUAUUUUAAUUCCAAGCUACUGUGGUAGCCUUGAACUCAAAUUUUUGUUUCCACAGUUCUAAGCCACUUCAAAAAGCCUCUCCAUUUUACUUGGCUUAUGGCCCCUGUGCUACUGACAAGUUGGCAAAUGCCUCCAGAACAGAAGUGGCAAAUGAACAGUACCGAAGUCCUUUCAUUGUGUUUUUCUUCUCUGGGGAAUUUAGGGCUUUGAAGUCCUGACUGCCUAAGUUGCUUUCCAAUAUCUUCAAGCAGCAGUUUUCAUUUUUAAUCCAGGUUUUAUAUUUUCUCAUGUUGAGAAACAUUAGAAGUGAGCUAUUCUACCAUAACAAGAAAAGAAAAUCCCUGAAGUCAGUUUCCAAUCCAGUUUUUAAAAGAUGGCGCUGUGAGAACAACCCAGGAUUGAAGCUCUCGUUGAAUCCGCGGAGAGGUGAGUUGGAGCUGCAUUUCCAGACUGAUCUUUGUUGUCCACAGAAUGGGGAAAUUCCCAAGCAUAAAGGAGACGCGGGACGCCAGGCAGUAACUCUGCCUGGCGAAGCCGGCAGCCGGAGUGGCGGCGGCCAGCCCUACCCAGCGCUCCCCACAGGGCGCGCUUGUCCGGGUGCCCUGUUGAACCAGCAACCUGAGACAUGAGAGGGCUGGACUUGAGACUGACCGAGACUUGGACAGUGGGCCAGCCCAGGAGAUUGCAGGGACAGAGCGUUUGGGGUAGCCCAGUGGGACGGACAAAAUGGUGAUUCCAAAUGCUCCCCAUGCAGACAGUCUGAGAUGCUCUGUGGGGGAGGGGCGUCCACCAUUACCGAGGCAACCCGCCCCAACUGAGAUACACGCCCACUGCUGACACAGCCAGCUGUUGCUGAGGCAACCCGUCCCUACUGAGAUACACGUCCACUGCUGACGCAGCCUGCCAUUGCGGAGGCAACCCGCUACAACAGAGAGACUCCGCCGCAGGGCGUAGCCGGUGGCGGAGACCACAGCAGAACAGCAGAGCCUGCAGCAACAGGGUGAACCACACAACAGCAGGGCGGAGCCUCGGCAGGCAAACAGUGUCUAGUCUGCCUCCUAGCUGGGCAGGACACCUCAACGGACAUCAAAAAUAAAGCCCGAACCCCCAACACAGAGCAUUUGAGAAAAUAAGGGUUUUUUUAAUGAGCUCUGUUGCAGCAGAAUCAAACAUAGCAGCCUAACAGCCCUGAACGAACAACAGAGCUCACAGCUCAGCAAUUGAGUUCCUAUGAAGUACAGACUGUCUCCUCAAGCAGCUCCCUGACCCCUCUAUAUCCAAAAGACUGACAUUUGGUAGACAUCAUCCUGGGACAAAGAGAGCAGAAAAAGAAACUGGUAGCAUCCCUCACUGUGCCACAGCUGCUAUAGGUGCACCCCAGACAAGAAGGGCCUGGAGUGGACCUCAGCAGUCGUACAGCAAAGGGGCUAGACUGGUAGAAGGAAAACCAAGUAACAGAAAGACCUCAUCAUCAACAAUCUGGGUGUCCACUCAGAGACCCAAUCGAAAAGUGAGCAACUACGCAGAUGACAAGCAGAUAAAUCCACAAAGAUGGGAAGAAACCAGCGCAAAAAGGAGGAAAAAAACCCGAAACCAGAACACCUCGCCUCCUAGAAAGGACCAAAACUCCUCACCAGCAAGGAAACAAAGCUGGACAAAGAAUGACUGUGAUGAAAUGAUGGAAUAAGACUUCAGAACGUGGAUAAUGAGAAACAUUUGUAAGCUAAAAGAACAUGUAUUAAAUCAAUGCAAAGAAACUAAGGAACUUGAAAAAAGAUAUGAAAAAAGAUUUGAGGAAAUGAUAACAGGAAUGGAUAACUUAGAGAGGAAUAUGAAUGAAUAAAAGGAGCUGAAAAACACAAUACUAGAACUUCGCGAAGCAUGCACAAGUUUCAAUAGCCAAAUUGACCAAGCAGAAGAAAGAAUAUCUGAAGUUGAAGACCAACUCAAUGAAAUAAAACGAGAAACCAAGAUUAGAGAAAAAAGCGCAAAAAGGA